Molecule: ribosomal RNA, 292 nt
Filed under: uncultured Planctomycetota bacterium
Lineage: Bacteria; Pseudomonadati; Planctomycetota
Description: uncultured planctomycete partial 16S ribosomal RNA
Source: RNAcentral
GGACUACUGGGGUAUCUAAUCCCGUUCGCUCCCCUAGCUUUCGCGCCUCAGCGUCAGAAGAGAUCCAGCACGUCGCUUUCGCCACCGGCGUUCCUUCCAAUAUCAACGCAUUUCACCGCUCCACUGGAAGUUCCACAUGCCCCUACCUCCCUCAAGACUACCAGUAUCCAAGGCAAUUUUCCGGUUAAGCCGAAAGAUUUCACCCCGGACUUUGCAGCCCGCCUACGCGCCCUUUAAGCCCAGUGAUUCCGAACAACGUUUGCACGGUUCGUCUUACCGCGGCUGCUGGCAC